GACGAACGCUGGCGGCGUGCCUAAUACAUGCAAGUAGAACGCUGAAGGAGGAGCUUGCUCUUCUGGAUGAGUUGCGGACGGGUGAGUAACGCGUAGGUAACCUGCCUGGUAGCGGGGGAUAACUAUUGGAAACGAUAGCUAAUACCGCAUAAGAGUAGAUGUUGCAUGACAUUUACUUAAAAGGUGCAAUUGCAUCACUACCAGAUGGACCUGCGUUGUAUUAGCUAGUUGGUGGGGUAACGGCUUACCAAGGCGACGAUACAUAGCCGACCUGAGAGGGUGAUCGGCCACACUGGGACUGAGACACGGCCCAGACUCCUACGGGAGGCAGCAGUAGGGAAUCUUCGGCAAUGGACGGAAGUCUGACCGAGCAACGCCGCGUGAGUGAAGAAGGUUUUCGGAUCGUAAAGCUCUGUUGUAAGAGAAGAACGAGUGUGAGAGUGGAAAGUUCACACUGUGACGGUAUCUUACCAGAAAGGGACGGCUAACUACGUG
Molecule: ribosomal RNA, 495 nt
Filed under: uncultured bacterium
Lineage: Bacteria
Description: partial 16S ribosomal RNA
Rfam family: Bacterial small subunit ribosomal RNA
Source: RNAcentral